AUGAGAAUUGUGAAGACAUAUUUGCACAAUCGUCUUGGCGAUGAUGCCUUGAAGUACAACCUUAUUUGUUAUGUGGAGAAAAGUGAAAUGAGGAAGGUUACAAAUGAUGCAGUAAUUGAUCGCUUUGAGGCCAUGAAAGAACGCAGGAAACCAUUUUCGAAAGGUAAUGGUUUUAACUUACUUAUUACACAACUGUAA
This 198-nucleotide ribosomal RNA is filed under the name Triticum aestivum (bread wheat). Its description in RNAcentral is "partial small subunit ribosomal RNA". The record is from RNAcentral. Lineage: Eukaryota; Viridiplantae; Streptophyta; Magnoliopsida; Poales; Poaceae.